CUGUGUGCUUCUGAAGCAGCCCCUCUCACAUCUUUCUGUGGGCACAGACCACCUGGGGAUCUUAUUUCAAAUGCACACUCCAACUGAAUGGGUACAGGGUGGGACCCAGGGGUCUGCAUCUCUAUUGAUCUCCCAGGUGAUGCCAAUGCUGAUGGUCCAUGGCUCCCAUUUUGGGGGAGCAAGUCUCCAGAGCUCAUUUUGUGUCCCCUUGUACACAACUCUAUCUCACUGGAUAGGUGAGGGGGGUUUACUUAUCUGUACCCUAUUCAUUUCAGAACUGCUUGAGGGAAGCACCUGUGCCUUCCUGGGCUCUGCACCCCUAGCAAAUAAUGUAGUUUCUGACACAAAGUAGGCCCUCAGGAGAUGUUGCAUUAAGGAAUGAAUUAUGGAAGACAGAGGAAAGGGAAGCAGGCUCAAGUUCCCAGCACCUGGGGAAUUCUAAGCCUGAGGAAGACAAGGUGCACACACAAUAUAUUAAUAAAAGAUAACUUCUAAAGCAAUAUGCCAUAAGCCAGGUGAACGAAAGGCAGAGUGAAUCAAGUAAGCCUGGAAUUAUUCUUGGAGAAGUUUGGGGCACAUGAAUUGGUGAAGAACAGAAGGCAAGUUCAUUUCCAACAGUACGAAUGGCAAAAAAUUCCUUUCUUCUUCUCUCUUUCUGCUCUCCCUCACUUCCUGCCCUUUUUUUCUUCUUUCCUUUUUUCGAUUUCUGACUCAGGUUGACUCCACAGUAUUUCUUUGGCUUUAGCAAAGAAAACUUUGCAUUUGGGCCAUGCUCAUUUCCCUCCUCAGCUUCAUUUACCGUACCACCUACCCGUCCAUCAACUCAUCCACAUUUUCAUCCAUACAUCCAUACAUCCAUUCACCCACCCAUCCACCCCUUCAUCAUCCAUCUGUCCAUCCAUCCAUCCAAUGUGUCUUCUUGCAGGUUUUUCAGGGACCCCUGGCUCCAAUGAGAAUUCUACCCAGAAUGUGUAUAAGAUUCCUCCUACCACCACUAAGGCCUUGCACCCACUCUAUACCAGCCCCAGAACUGUGACCCAAGCUCCACCCAAGUCAACUGCCGAUGUCUCCACUCCUGACUCUGAAAUCAACCUUACAAAUGUGACAGAUAUCAUCAGGUAUGGUUUCCAGGUCCCUGGGCCCCUGGUUUGGACACUGAGCCCUUUGUUUCCCAGUCUGUGUGCUGAGAGGAUGUGAAAGUGAGGGAAAGGGGAGGGUGGGGCAGGAGCAGACUUGAGUCACAUUAGUCUGGGUAGAAAUGUCCAGGGGAAGAAGGAAGUGGUGAUGGAGAAUAGGGGAGGCUCUCAGCCAGGCUGUCCUUCUCCCCAGUUCACCUUCUUUGUUUCCUUGCAACCUGAGUAUUAAAGAGAGGGAAAUGGCAUCUUCCCCAAGUUCCAGUGGAGCUCAUCCAACCCCAGGGGCCUGAUGGGCAGUGGGAAAGCACUCUGAGUGAGGGGCCCUGGAUCUAGUGUUGGCCUGACUAACUGAAUGUGACUUUGGGUGAGUCAGGAACCCUCUCUGGCUUUAGCUUCCUUGACAAUUCAGUAGGCAUGGUAGAAACCCAAAGCUGGAAGACAUUGUCCACCUAAUAACUCUCAGCAGGAGCUGGAGCUGGGGCUAAAUGCAGUAUUGGUUUUUGCCUUAUUGUUUUUUAAAUAAUAUUGUUGCAUGUGCCCAAUUAUAGAUAAAUAGAAUCAGAAUUUUUGCAGAUGAUGUCCCUCUCCGUAUUUUUAAUAAGAUGUUUAGGAGAUUUCUAACGUGUAGGCAAACUUAAGAACCACUAACUUAGCAAUUUCACACCUCUUUACAGUUAUUAAAUGUUGAUUUAUAUUAGAAUGUGUUUAUCAUUAAAUACUGAAUUAUCAGGAUGGAAAUACUUUUCCACAUC
Molecule: small RNA, 1888 nt
Filed under: Pan troglodytes (chimpanzee)
Lineage: Eukaryota; Metazoa; Chordata; Mammalia; Primates; Hominidae
Description: retained intron
Source: RNAcentral